This 826-nucleotide ribosomal RNA is filed under the name uncultured archaeon. Its description in RNAcentral is "bacterial SSU rRNA". It matches the Rfam family "Archaeal small subunit ribosomal RNA", at positions 24 to 855 of the family's 1478-position model. The record is from RNAcentral.
UCACUGCUAUUGGGAUUCGACUAAGCCAUGCGAGUCGAGAGGGUUCGGCCCUCGGCUGACGGCUUAGUAACACGUGGAUAAUCUGCCCUUAGGUGGAGGAUAAUCUCGGGAAACUGAGAAUAAUACUCCAUAGGUCUAAGAUGCUGGAAUGCACCUAGGCUCAAAACUCCGGUGCCUAAGGAUGAGUCUGCGGACUAUCAGGUUGUAGUCAGGGUAAUGACCUGACUAGCCUACGACGGAUACGGGUUGUGAGAGCAAUAACCCGGAGAUGAUAUCUGAGACACGAUAUCAGGCCCUACGGGGCGCAGCAGGCGCGAAAACUUCACAAUGUGCGAAAGCACGAUGAGGGAAUCCCAAGUGCUUGCACGUAAGUGUAAGCUGUUUCUUUGUUUAAAACGCAUUGAGAGUAAGAGCUGGGUAAGACGGGUGCCAGCCGCCGCGGUAAUACCUGCAGCUCAAGUGGUGGCCGCUAUUAUUGGGCCUAAAACGUCCGUAGCCGGUUUAUUAAAUGCCUGGGUAAAUCGUGUAGCUUAACUAUACGAAUUCCGGGUAGACUGAUAAACUUGAGAUCGGGAGAAGUUAGAGGUACUCCUGGGGUAGAGGUGAAAUUCUGUAAUCCUAGGGGGACCACCAGUGGCGAAGGCGUCUGACUAGAACGGGUCUGACGGUGAGGGACGAAGCCCUGGGGCGCGAACCGGAUUAGAUACCCGGGUAGUCCAGGGUGUAAACGCUGCUUGCUUGAUGUUAGUCGGGCUCCGAGCCCGAUUAGUGUCGGAGAGAAGUUGUUAAGCAAGCUGCCUGGGAAGUACGGUCGCAAGACUGAAAC